Molecule: ribosomal RNA, 656 nt
Filed under: uncultured bacterium
Lineage: Bacteria
Description: bacterial SSU rRNA
Rfam family: Bacterial small subunit ribosomal RNA
Source: RNAcentral
AGUGGCGGACGGGUGAGUAACGCGUGAGAAUCUGCCUUGGGGUCGGGGACAACCACUGGAAACGGUGGCUAAUACCGGAUAAGCCGAUUGGUGAAAGAUUUAUUGCCCGAAGAGGAGCUCGCGUCUGAUUAGCUAGUUGGUGAGGUAAGAGCUCACCAAGGCAGCGAUCAGUAGCUGGUCUGAGAGGACGAUCAGCCACACUGGGACUGAGACACGGCCCAGACUCCUACGGGAGGCAGCAGUGGGGAAUUUUCCGCAAUGGGCGAAAGCCUGACGGAGCAAGACCGCGUGAGGGAGGAAGGCUCUUGGGUUGUAAACCUCUUUUCUCAGGGAAGAAGCUCUGACGGUACCUGAGGAAUCAGCCUCGGCUAACUCCGUGCCAGCAGCCGGUAAUACGGAGGAGGCAAGCGUUAUCCGGAAUUAUUGGGCGUAAAGCGUCCGCAGGUGGCGAUUCAAGUCUGCUGUCAAAGCACGGGGCUUAACUCCGUAAAGGCAGUGGAAACUGAAUAGCUAGAGUGCCGUAGGGGUAGAGGGAAUUCCCGGUGUAGCGGUGAAAUGCGUAGAGAUCGGGAAGAACAUCGGUGGCGAAAGCGCUCUACUGGACGGCAACUGACACUCAGGGAAAAGCUAGGGGAGCGAAUGGGAUUAGAUACCCC